RNAcentral lists this unclassified non-coding RNA (4407 nucleotides) under Hevea brasiliensis (rubber tree). The record is from RNAcentral. Lineage: Eukaryota; Viridiplantae; Streptophyta; Magnoliopsida; Malpighiales; Euphorbiaceae.
GGAACAGAUUAUGAACUUGUUAAUAUUCAAAAACCAGUAAACAACCACUCAAAGCAUAGAAGCCAAACGGUUCCGUUUUUCCCCCUCCUACAACAAUUGUGCAGUCAUGCUUAAGUCAAGUCGACAUUACAUGGUACAUAAUAACAAAUGUGAAACAUAAAGUAUAUGACUCUCUGUUUGAUUCAUCUUGCAACUCGAUUUUACAAAUUCAACAACCUUAGUGCACUCAAAUAUUCAUGUUCACCAUCUGUUAUUAAUCUCAGGUAUUGAAAUUUAAUUAUGCGCCCCUAUCUUCGUUCCCUUUACUUCCUGCACUUUUAGUCUUGCCAAUUUUGCAUCCAGUCACACUUUGCCCAGGAGUGUAAAUGGUUUUCAGGCCCUUCUUUAUGAUUUUCAGCGCCAAUGAUUUUAGUGGAACUGUAAUAUCCAGAGGCAAAAGGACAUCUUCCAACUCAUGCCAGUCAAGAUCUUCGAAGUCACCAUCUUCAUACACCACUCUGUACCAGCCAGUUUCCUUGUCAAACUGAGCCACAGUACCAGUAUAGUAUUGGCCUCCAAACAACUUUUGAACUUCCCUUCCUUCCAACCAUUCACCAAAAACAGCAUUUUCAAGAAAUUCUGCAGCUAGACUUGUGUUUCUUUGUGAUUCUGCAUCACUCACAGUGCUUGAGAGAACAACAGAACUGUCAUCUGGAGAGAUUUCUGGCAACCCAUUGAUAAAAAUGGCAGGUUCCCCUAGCAACUCAAAAACACCGGUUGGUAAAGACUCUGAUUCUGGCUUUUUGCUGGUGUUAUCCAUGUCUAGUUCUAUGUCAAACAGCUUUUUAAGGAGUUAACAAUCUGAAAAUGCAAGGAAUGUCUAAAUGAUCCUUCAACAAGUAUAAUUCAACAGCUGGGAGCUUUAGAAUGUGAGUAACAAUUAAAUCAUACAUCAUACCAGAAAAAUAGAAUAUUUGGCCAGCACAUAAAAUGUGGAUACUGAAUACAUAGUCUCAAGUAUGCUCUCUUUCCCAAGUUAAAUGUCAGCCAGUCAAUUUAUUUCUGAUUGCCAGAAAGCCCUUUUUCAUUAGUAAGCUUUUUCCAUUGCUCUAGGCAAUUAGGCACAGGUGAUUUAUUAUGAAAAAUAAGUUUACCACGCCUUUGAUAAAAGAUAUUCUUUGAGUGCAGAUAUGAUGCACUCCCAUUUUCGAAAAAGCUGCAGCACAACAGCUAAACCAUAAAGUUUUUCGCAAUCCCAAUUUCAAUCUUACUUAACCUAACCUAACCUUGAGAUCUUCGAACCCUAGUAAGUCCUAAAAAUGCAGAUGUUAUCAAUCAGUCUUCCAUAUUUUUCUCAAGUUGACAAAGAGAGCUAAUAGUUUCUUUGAGCUCAUUGAGCUUUGCUCCAGAACAGGCUAUAUAGCCUUUUAAUAUUCAAUCUUUCUCCUUUUGCAUUCUCCAUAUUUCUCUUUUUUAAUUUUGAUAAAUGUUCAUUCAGUCCAAAAGAAGACUUUGGAGAUGGCUAAUCUGCAAUAAAGCCUAAACAUUACUUGAGCUACAAAUCAAAGAUGAAGUGCGCAUGGAAACACGAGAGAAAGAGAGAGAGAACUCUGCAGAUUGCUCAAAUACCAGCUGCUGAGAGUAAACAUAAAUUCCCUAAAUUCUCCAAAUUUCAAGUUGGGUAAGGUUCACCAUAAUCUCAAGAAUAAUCCUUGAGAUUGAUUUGAUCUGGAGCCAUUGAUAUUCUGUCUUCCACCCUACAGAUUUUAUUAUUUUGCUUUUCAACCACAAAUUUCAAAGACAUCUUUUGUACGUGGACAAGAAAAAGAAAACAAUAAUUCAGCUCAGGUUCUUCUUCUGAACCAAGUUUAGUAAAAUAACUCCCAUUCUCCAUAUGCACAAACACCUUGCAAAAACAGAAGUCCAAGAAAACCCUAAUUUGAUCAACCACAACCACUAGUAAUUCUAUAGACAACAAUUUGCAGUUUAGUCUUCAAGAAUUCUAAAAAACAAACAGCAAGUCAAAAAACUUUCUGAAAACUGAUUCUACGGUUCCUAAAAUAUCACCAAUCAGGAGAAGAAAAUUAAAAAGAGAGAGAAAAAAGAAGCUAGGAACAUGCAUACCAAACCACUGUAAUUGGCAACAUUCUGGAGUUGAUCUUCACCUCUCUGAGAUCUCCGAAUAGCAACCCAAACUAACUGCCUGAGUUGCAAAGAAAGAAAUCGGAAUCGCUGCUUUGCAGGAAGUUGAAACAGUUGCAGUUCCCAAAGCUUGUUUCAUUACCCUGCUUUCCAUUCCACCUGAAUUAAAUUAACUCCCCAGUAAAAACGCUCCGUUUCUGCUUAACCAACUAAACGACAUCGUUCACCAAAAACUCUCCCCCAUUAAACGCCGAAUUUUUGCUCAAGGCCCAUCGGACAAAUGAAUGAAGAUUAUAUCAAACACCUUGGACAGCCAAGUCCACCGUUUUCUGAGCUCUUCCGCUGUGCUCGACUGUGCCUUGUUCGGUCGUCUCCUCCAGCACUUCACCGAACACCGUCUUCCUCUUCAAGCGAAGCAACUACACGCGCGGCUCAUCCUCUUCUCGGUCACGCCAAGAAACUACCUUGCUUCCAAACUUGUUACUCUAUACGCCAAAACCAACGACCUAACCGACGCCCGUUCCGUGUUCGAUCGAAUUCCCCAUAAGAACACCUUUUCUUAUAAUGCCAUGCUCAUAUCUUAUUCCCUCCAUAACCGCCACGCAGACGCAUUGAAGCUUUUCUCGUCGUUAGCCUGUUCGAGUUCAUUGAAUGCGAGGCCUGACAAUGUCUCCAUUACUACUUUGUUAAAGUCACUGUCUGGUUUGUUGUUUAUUGAUGUUAAAUUGGGUAAGGAGGUUCAUGGUUUUGUUCUGAGACAGGGGUUCGAUGCUGAUGUUUUCGUCGAGAAUGCUUUGGUUACGUUUUAUUCGACUUGUGAUGAAUUGGUUUUAGCGAGAAGGGUGUUUGAUAAUGUGAGGGAGAGAGAUGUGGUGACGUGGAAUUCGAUGAUUGCGGGUUAUUCUCAGGGAGGGCUCUAUGAGGAAUGUAAAAGAUUGUAUAGGGAAAUGGUUGAUUUUUCGGGUUUUAGGCCUAACGGGAUCACUGUGGUCAGUGUCUUGCAAGCAUGCGGGCAAACAAUGGACCUUGUUUUUGGAAUGGAAGUUCAUAGGUAUCUUGUUGAUAAUCAGGUUGAAAUGGAUAUUUCCGUUUGUAAUGCUUUGAUUGGAUUUUAUGCAAAAUGUGGGAGCUUGGAUUAUGCUAGAGAAUUGUUUGAAUUGAUGAGUGAAAAGGAUGAAGUUACUUAUGGUGCUAUUAUAUCCGGAUUCAUGCUUCAUGGGCAUGUUGAUCAAAGUCUGGAUUUUUUUAGAGGAAUGAAAACUCAACUGUUAAGUACAUGGAACGUAGUUAUUUCAGGUUUGGUACAAAAUAAGCAGUAUGAGAAGGCAUUAGAUUUGGUUAGAGAAAUGCAGGUACUUGGUUUUCAACCAAAUGCUGUAACACUUUCGAGCAUACUUCCUGCCUUAUCAUGUUCUUCAAGUUUGAAAGGAGGGAAAGAGAUGCACGCUUAUGCUGUUAAAAAUGGUUAUGACGACAAUAUCUAUGUUGCAACUGCACUUGUUGAUAUGUAUGCAAAGUUAGGAUAUCUUGGUGGGGCACAGAGGAUGUUUGAUCAAUCAAAAAGUAGGAGCUUGAUUAUUUGGACUGCAAUAAUCUCAGCAUAUGCUGUCCAUGGAGAUGCUAAUUUGGCUCUUGGUCUUUUUCAUGAGAUGUUGAAUGGUGGAAUUCACCCUGAUCUAGUCACAUUUACUGCAGUGUUGACAGCUUGUGCUCAUUGCGGAAUGGUGGAUGGAGCUUUCGAGAUCUUUGAGGCUAUGUUUAAGAAAUAUGGCAUUCAGCCUUUGGCAGAGCAUUAUGCUUGCGUGGUAGUUGCUCUAAGCAGGGCAGGGAGGCUCUCUGAAGCUAAGGAGUUUGUUUCUAAAAUGCCAAUAGAGCCAAAUGCGAAAGUUUGGGGCGCAUUACUGCAUGGAGCUUCUGUUUCUGGUGAUGUUGAACUUGGCAAGUUCAUUUGUGAUCAUUUGCUUGAAAUUGAACCAGAAAAUACCGGCACUUAUGUCAUCAUGGCCAAUUUGUAUUCCCAGGCAGGGAAAUGGAAAGAAGCUGAUGAGGUCAGAGAAAGGAUGAAUAAAGUUGGCUUAAAGAAGAUAGCAGGCAGUAGUUGGAUAGAAACUAGUAAAGGAAUACAAGGUUUUAUUGCUAUGGACAGAUCUAGCGAAGAUGCUGAAAAAAUAUAUAUAAUAUUGGAAGGGUUGCUUGGGAUGAUGAGAGAAGAAGGGAAAGUUUUGCAGUAUGAGCUUGAUGAGGAGAGUAUUUAUGGUUAAGCAAUAGGAAGAGGCUUUUUUUUUU